CCUACGGGAGGCAGCAGUGAGGAAUAUUGGUCAAUGGACGAGAGUCUGAACCAGCCAAGUAGCGUGAAGGAUGACUGCCCUAUGGGUUGUAAACUUCUUUUAUAAAGGAAUAAAACGAGGCACGUGUGCCUUUUUGCAUGUACUUUAGGAAGAAGGAGCGGCUAACUCCGUGCCAGCAGCCGCGGUAAUACGGAGGAUCCGAGCGUUAUCCGGAUUUAUUGGGUUUAAAGGGAGCGUAGAUGGGUUGUUAAGUCAGUUGUGAAAGGUUGCGGCUCAACCGUAAAAUUGCAAUUGAUACUGGCAGUCUUGAGUACAGUUGAGGUAAGCGGAAUUCGUGGUGUAGCGGUGAAAUGCUUAGAUAUCACGAAGAACCCCGAUUGCGAAGGCAGCUUACUAAACUGUGACUGACAUUGCUGCUCGAAAGUGUGGGUAUCAAACAGGAUUAGAUACCCUAGUAGUC
RNAcentral lists this ribosomal RNA (460 nucleotides) under uncultured bacterium. Its description in RNAcentral is "partial 16S ribosomal RNA". It matches the Rfam family "Bacterial small subunit ribosomal RNA", at positions 338 to 795 of the family's 1533-position model. The record is from RNAcentral.